Molecule: ribosomal RNA, 301 nt
Filed under: uncultured bacterium
Lineage: Bacteria
Description: partial 16S ribosomal RNA
Rfam family: Bacterial small subunit ribosomal RNA
Source: RNAcentral
CAGUAGCCGCGGUAAUACGGAGGAUCCAAGCGUUAUCCGGAAUCAUUGGGUUUAAAGGGUCCGUAGGCGGUCUUGCAAGUCAGUGGUGAAAGCCCAUCGCUCAACGGUGGAACGGCCAUUGAUACUGCAGGACUUGAAUUAUUGGGAAGUAACUAGAAUAUGUAGUGUAGCGGUGAAAUGCUUAGAGAUUACAUGGAAUACCAAUUGCGAAGGCAGGUUACUACCAAUUGAUUGACGCUGAUGGACGAAAGCGUGGGUAGCGAACAGGAUUAGAUACCCCGGUAGUCCCUGUCUCUUAUAC